RNAcentral lists this ribosomal RNA (1256 nucleotides) under Klebsiella pneumoniae. RNAcentral's name for it is "bacterial LSU rRNA". It matches the Rfam family "Bacterial large subunit ribosomal RNA", at positions 1155 to 2395 of the family's 2925-position model. Lineage: Bacteria; Pseudomonadati; Pseudomonadota; Gammaproteobacteria; Enterobacterales; Enterobacteriaceae. The record is from RNAcentral.
CGGCCUGCGCGGAAGAUGUAACGGGGCUAAACCAUGCACCGAAGCUGCGGCAGCGACACUAUGUGUUGUUGGGUAGGGGAGCGUUCUGUAAGCCUGCGAAGGUGACCUGUGAGGGUUGCUGGAGGUAUCAGAAGUGCGAAUGCUGACAUAAGUAACGAUAAAGCGGGUGAAAAGCCCGCUCGCCGGAAGACCAAGGGUUCCUGUCCAACGUUAAUCGGGGCAGGGUGAGUCGACCCCUAAGGCGAGGCCGAAAGGCGUAGUCGAUGGGAAACAGGUUAAUAUUCCUGUACUUGGUGUUACUGCGAAGGGGGGACGGAGAAGGCUAUGUUAGCCGGGCGACGGUUGUCCCGGUUUAAGCAUGUAGGCUGGUUAUCCAGGCAAAUCCGGAUAAUCAAGGCUGAGGUGUGAUGACGAGGCACUACGGUGCUGAAGUAACAAAUGCCCUGCUUCCAGGAAAAGCCUCUAAGCAUCAGGUAACAUCAAAUCGUACCCCAAACCGACACAGGUGGUCAGGUAGAGAAUACCAAGGCGCUUGAGAGAACUCGGGUGAAGGAACUAGGCAAAAUGGUGCCGUAACUUCGGGAGAAGGCACGCUGGUGUGUAGGUGAAGCCCCUGCGGGUGGAGCUGAGACCAGUCGAAGAUACCAGCUGGCUGCAACUGUUUAUUAAAAACACAGCACUGUGCAAACACGAAAGUGGACGUAUACGGUGUGACGCCUGCCCGGUGCCGGAAGGUUAAUUGAUGGGGUUAUCCGUAAGGAGAAGCUCUUGAUCGAAGCCCCGGUAAACGGCGGCCGUAACUAUAACGGUCCUAAGGUAGCGAAAUUCCUUGUCGGGUAAGUUCCGACCUGCACGAAUGGCGUAAUGAUGGCCAGGCUGUCUCCACCCGAGACUCAGUGAAAUUGAACUCGCUGUGAAGAUGCAGUGUACCCGCGGCAAGACGGAAAGACCCCGUGAACCUUUACUAUAGCUUGACACUGAACAUUGAGCCUUGAUGUGUAGGAUAGGUGGGAGGCUUUGAAGCGUGGACGCCAGUCUGCGUGGAGCCAACCUUGAAAUACCACCCUUUAAUGUUUGAUGUUCUAACGUUGGCCCCUUACCGGGGUUGCGGACAGUGUCUGGUGGGUAGUUUGACUGGGGCGGUCUCCUCCCAAAGCGUAACGGAGGAGCACGAAGGUUAGCUAAUCCUGGUCGGACAUCAGGAGGUUAGUGCAAUGGCAUAAGCUAGCUUGACUGCGAGCGUGACGGCGCGAGCA